This 785-nucleotide ribosomal RNA is filed under the name uncultured bacterium. RNAcentral's name for it is "bacterial SSU rRNA". It matches the Rfam family "Bacterial small subunit ribosomal RNA", at positions 667 to 1451 of the family's 1533-position model. The record is from RNAcentral.
UNCCAUGUGUAGCGGUGAAAUGCGUAGAUAUAUGGAGGAACNCCGGUGGCGAAAGCGGCUCUCUGGUCUGUAACUGACGCUGAGGCUCGAAAGCGUGGGGAGCGAACAGGAUUAGAUACCCUGGUAGUNCACGCCGUAAACGAUGAGUGCUAGGUGUUAGGCCCUUUCCGGGGCUUAGUGCCGGAGCUAACGCAUUAAGCACUCCGCCUGGGGAGUACGACCGCAAGGUUGAAACUCAAAGGAAUUGACGGGGGCCCGCACAAGCGGUGGAGCAUGUGGUUUAAUUCGAAGCAACGCGAAGAACCUUACCAGGUCUUGACAUCCCGAUGCCCGCUCUAGAGAUAGAGUUUUACUUCGGUACAUCGGUGACAGGUGGUGCAUGGUUGUCGUCAGCUCGUGUCGUGAGAUGUUGGGUUAAGUCCCGCAACGAGCGCAACUCCUAUUGUUAGUUGCCAUCAUUAAGUUGGGCACUCUAGCGAGACUGCCGGUAAUAAACCGGAGGAAGGUGGGGAUGACGUCAAAUCAUCAUGCCCCUUAUGACCUGGGCUACACACGUGCUACAAUGGCUGGUACAACGAGUCGCAAGUCGGUGACGACAAGCUAAUCUCUUAAAGCCAGUCUCAGUUCGGAUUGUAGGCUGCAACUCGCCUACAUGAAGUCGGAAUCGCUAGUAAUCGCGGAUCAGCACGCCGCGGUGAAUACGUUCCCGGGCCUUGUACACACCGCCCGUCACACCACGAGAGUUUGUAACACCCGAAGUCGGUGAGGUANCCUUUUAGGAGCCA